ACCGACGCGAAGGGGAGGAGAAAGGAGUAAGGGCUCAGUCCACAGCCCCAGGCUCGUGGGGCUGGGGACGCGGGACAGGGCGGGGUGCAAAUAAGGACAGGAAAGGGAAACUCCGCGGGAAAGGGGUGGGAUCCACCCGACCUUCAUUUCACAAAUUCCUUCUCUGGAUUGCCACUUGGAGUGAUGUGGCACACGAAGUCGUCCUGACCCGUAGGGGCCCCUUUGAACAAAGGGCUGCGUUUACUCCUAACUUUGCUGGCAAGAGGCAGUGGAUCCCAGCUCAGGUCUGCUGUUUCCACAGUUGAACGUGUAUUGCCCCCUUUAAAGGAAUUCGUGUCUCUUUCAUUGCAGAUGUGGGUGCACUUAAAUCGGUGGGAAAUCUGUGUGUGUAUAUGUGAAACAUACUGUAUUUAUGUAUGAAAUAUAAACCUGUAUAUACAGAUAUAAAAACAAUUCUCUUUCUAUGAAAUCGAUAUAAACAAAAAUGUUCACGUCUAUAUAACCUAUGUAAAUAAGCUAUAUAUCUGAUAUAAACAAAGAUUGUAUACUGGCUUCCCUCACAGUGUGUCCAUCCACGUGUAGACACAACAAGACUUUAUUCCCCACUGAUUUCCAUAGUGUCUCCUGUACCUCCAUGAAAAAUAUAAAAUAUGAGAAAGGAAAUAUUUGAAAAUGUCGACAUACAGUGUUGAGCAGAUCUUAGUGAACCUUAACAAGCUGGGAAUUCAUUUUCUCCAUCUUUUAAAGUCAUGAACAAUUGUAAAGCAUCCCCACAAGCUCUGUUACUUUUUAAGAAUUAUGAAAUUACUCUUAUGAAAAGCAUGCCUAUGUUCCCUUUUAUUUAUUUAUUUUUAAGUGGGAGAUAGUGUGUUAAAUGUGAAAGCGCCAAAUUGUGACUUGGAGGGGAAGGGGUUAUCGAUUUUAUUGAGUAAGCAACACACAGUGGAUUUGCAUUUUACCUCUGGAAACUGGGGGUUCAAAUUGGGCACAUGGGACACCAAGGAUGUAUUUUGUGGUCCCAGCCUAGCCCCGACUGCAAAGCCACUGUGUAAUUUGGGGCGAUUGAAUGUGAGUGGCAGUCCCUGCUCUCAAGUAGGUCAGGCUUGGAACAACCAGGCACCCAGGGGCCCAGAGCAGCACGACUGGCGACAAUGAGAAUAUUACCUCUCUUGGCCUCUACUAUUUCUACCAUCUGCCUCUCCUCACACAUGGGGAUGCAGGGAUGGGGAAGGUGGUGCUGAUAGUUUUCAAUAUUCCUCUGAGCUAAUUUGCUAUUAUUAAAAAAAAAUGACUUCGUAUGAAUGACAAGAGAUAUAUAAACUUUAGUCUUAGGAUGGUAUUUAUAACAUUUGUGCAGAGAACUUGAAUUCUGGUACAUCUUAGGAUGUAGUGCUUUAUUUCUGAGAUCCUGAAGUCCAGAGGGAUGGUUUCAAUUCCAAAGGCCGAAUAGCUGGAAAAAUGACAACUGAUUUCAGGCAAAUAGAGGCUUUGACAAUUCGAAAGAAAUGAAUCCCUCUCUUAUCCUUAAUAUGUAACACUUUCUCAACUCAGAAGUGACAACCCAGACGUAUUUUUUAAAGACUCUGACCAAGAAAUGUUAAUUUAUGUUUACUCUUCCCCACCAAAUGGAAGGGGUUUGUCUAAGAAAGCCAGAGGAAGAAAAUAUUUCAUCUACCAUGAGCUGUAGUUUCAAGAGAAGACUUUGAGGAAAAGAGUUCGGUUAUGAGCAGUGGGCUCACACAUACAGCUAUAAUGGACAGCUCUGUCAUUAUACACAGAAAGCUUAGGGGUCGACAGUGGAGAACUCUGAUUUGAAGUGCAUUUUUAUUUCUCUGGGAUGCUGAUAUUGCUUCUGGCAAUAAUUCAGUGUCCUGCUCACAUUAAGGAAAAAAAAAGAAAGAAGAAUGAAAGUAAAUUUAACCCUUUUUAUCCCUGGUGAAACGUAGCCUUCUGUCUCCCUGAAGUUGAUCACUUUUCAGUAGGUCUAACAUGAGCACCAUUGCUGCUGGAGCGUCAGAUCCAAGCCCACUCAGACGUGAACCCUGCCUAAACCAUGGUGUUUUCUUCUCACCGCUGAAAUUCACAUUUAGAAAAUUCAGAGAGUACACCUGCCAAAAGAUAGAGACGGGAGGAGAUCUCUGCAGAAUGAUGGAAGAUCUCCAAACCCAGAAGGCUGGCCAGGAGUAAGAAGACUGAGCAGGGGUGCCUCUGUUGUCCCAGGCAGCAUAAGAUUUCUGGAAGCUACAGUACAAUUCUUGCCUGGAGCCAUCCUGCUGCUUCAGGGCAGGCUUUGAUUCCUGACUCAUUUGACUGAAAUCCUCUAUGCUGCCCUGUAGACUAUCCAGACACCACAUCCCAAUUAAAUCUGCAUUUAAAUUGAA
Equus caballus (horse) is the source of this 2381-nucleotide non-coding RNA. The record is from RefSeq and is a predicted model, not a curated record. Lineage: Eukaryota; Metazoa; Chordata; Mammalia; Perissodactyla; Equidae.